Non-coding RNA from Oryzias latipes (Japanese medaka), 554 nucleotides. The record is from RefSeq and is a predicted model, not a curated record. Lineage: Eukaryota; Metazoa; Chordata; Actinopteri; Beloniformes; Adrianichthyidae.
AGUCAUGUGAGCAGCAAGCAAACCUGCAGCCCUCCAUCUGACAAGAUAACAUGAGAGGAUACAGAGGCAUCAAGUACACCCUCUUCAUAUUCUGCUACUCUUUCUGGCCUGCUGGACUGGAUGCAGCCGGAGGGGGAGCCAAGACUCACGCUUGAGCAGCACCAGCUGUCCACAGUCCCCACCUGCCUCAAAUCCAGAACCAAUGUUCCUGUGCCCAAAAGACCUGCAAUCACAACACUCAACAACUUCCGUCCAGUUGCCCUCGCCCUCACGGUGAGAAUGAAAUAUUUUGAGAGGAUCGUCUUAGAACAUAUCAAAAAUAACAUCCCUUAGUACACACACCCCUUCCCCCUCAAAAUAUAUACUCCAACAUAUAACACACACACAUGCACACACACACCCUCACAAACACACAUACACGCACACACAUUUUGCAAGGAAGGUGGGACCUAGGACCAUCUGUCCCCUACCCCUUCCCUGGUGGAGGGUACGGGUCCCUUGGUGGCGGCUGCCGUGUCCCCUGGGUGCCGGUCUCCUGGGCCCAGCGGUGCUCU